RNAcentral lists this ribosomal RNA (490 nucleotides) under uncultured bacterium. RNAcentral describes it as "partial 16S ribosomal RNA". It matches the Rfam family "Bacterial small subunit ribosomal RNA", at positions 28 to 506 of the family's 1533-position model. The record is from RNAcentral.
GAUGAACGCUGGCUACAGGCUUAACACAUGCAAGUCGAGGGGAAACGACGGGGAAGCUUGCUUCCCCGGGCGUCGACCGGCGCACGGGUGAGUAACGCGUAUCCAACCUGCCUCUGACUGAGGGAUAACCCGUCGAAAGUCGGCCUAAUACCUCAUGGCAUCGUCUGCGGGCAUCCAACGACGAUUAAAGAUUUCAUCGGUCAGGGAUGGGGAUGCGUCUGAUUAGCUUGUUGGCGGGGUAACGGCCCACCAAGGCUACGAUCAGUAGGGGUUCUGAGAGGAAGGUCCCCCACAUUGGAACUGAGACACGGUCCAAACUCCUACGGGAGGCAGCAGUGAGGAAUAUUGGUCAAUGGGCGGGAGCCUGAACCAGCCAAGUAGCGUGCAGGAUGACGGCCCUAUGGGUUGUAAACUGCUUUUAUGCGGGGAUAAAGUGAGGGACGUGUCCUUCAUUGCAGGUGCCGCAUGAAUAAGGACCGGCUAAUUCCGU